This 111-nucleotide ribosomal RNA is filed under the name uncultured eukaryote. Its description in RNAcentral is "partial small subunit ribosomal RNA". The record is from RNAcentral.
GUUGCACCUACCAAUUGAAUGGUCCGGUGAAGCCUCGGGAUCGCAGUCGGUUUGCUUCAUUGUGAAUGGAUUGCAAGAACUUGUCUAAACCUUAUCAUUUAGAGGAAGGUG